This 253-nucleotide ribosomal RNA is filed under the name uncultured bacterium. RNAcentral describes it as "partial 16S ribosomal RNA". It matches the Rfam family "Bacterial small subunit ribosomal RNA", at positions 524 to 776 of the family's 1533-position model. The record is from RNAcentral.
UACGGAGGGCGCAAGCGUUGUUCGGAAUCACUGGGCGUAAAGCGCGUGUAGGCGGCCGAGCAAGUCGGAUGUGAAAUCCCGAGGCUCAACCUCGGAACUGCAUUCGAAACUGCUCGGCUCGAGUCCCGGAGAGGAUGGCGGAAUUCCCGGUGUAGGGGUGAAAUCCGUAGAUAUCGGGAGGAACACCAGUGGCGAAGGCGGCCAUCAGGACGGUGACUGACGCUGAGACGCGAAAGCGUGGGGAGCAAUCACG